Non-coding RNA from Podarcis lilfordi (Lilford's wall lizard), 74 nucleotides. The record is from the annotation of a GenBank genome assembly. NCBI's taxonomy places the organism in Eukaryota, Metazoa, Chordata, Lepidosauria, Squamata, Lacertidae.
AAUCUCAUAAACUCAGUGGAUAGAGCAUGAGACUCUUAAUCUCAGGGUUGUGGGUUUGAGCCCUAGAAAGAUUC